UUUUUUUUUUUAAUUAAACUAGGCAAACUUAAAUAUUUGUCUCUUAAUGUAAAAAGUUUUUCUUACCCCAGUUCACUAAAUACAUCAAACUUAUGACAUUUCCAAACAUAUAUUGCUUAGAGCUCAACUUUGACACACACUUUAGGCUUCUUGGAAUUUCAGAAAAAUUCUUUUUAAGCUUUCCUUUGCUCAAUGAUGCUAAUGCGCUAAUUACGAUUCUUGCAUUUCUCCAUGGCCCUAGGAGCAAGCCCAAUAGCCUCUGAACCUUUCAU
Molecule: unclassified non-coding RNA, 272 nt
Filed under: Hevea brasiliensis (rubber tree)
Lineage: Eukaryota; Viridiplantae; Streptophyta; Magnoliopsida; Malpighiales; Euphorbiaceae
Source: RNAcentral